RNAcentral lists this ribosomal RNA (485 nucleotides) under Clathrozoella drygalskii. RNAcentral's name for it is "partial 16S ribosomal RNA". It matches the Rfam family "Bacterial large subunit ribosomal RNA", at positions 1886 to 2521 of the family's 2925-position model. The record is from RNAcentral. Lineage: Eukaryota; Metazoa; Cnidaria; Hydrozoa; Anthoathecata; Clathrozoellidae.
AUUUUUAAUAAAAAAUAAUAAUACUAUUUAAAGAAAAUUUAAAGGACGCGGUAACCUUGACUGUGAUAAUGUAGCAUAAUCAUUCGCCAUUUAAUUAAUGGAUAGUAUGAAUGGUUUAACGAAUAUUACACUGUCUCAAAAAAAGAUAUCAUGAAAAUGAAAUAAUAGUUAAGAUGCUAUUUAAAAUUGUAAGACGAAAAGACCCUAUAGAGCUUAACUAUAAACUUUUUAUUAUUAAAUAGAAAAUAUUUCCUAAUAAUAAAAAGACUGGUAGUUUAGUUGGGGCGACUAUCUUUUAAAAAUAACAAAGACAAGCAAUAUUAAUAUUAUAAUUUACUGUAUAAUCUAUAAAUUUAACAGUUAUAAAAAUAGGCCAUAAUGACCCGUCAUAAUUUAAUAAUAAAUAUGACGAUCAAUAAAUAAAAGCUACCUUAGGGAUAACAGGAUAAUUUUGUUUUAGAGACCUGAUCAAAAACAAAGUUUGU